RNAcentral lists this ribosomal RNA (385 nucleotides) under Entamoeba sp. RNAcentral describes it as "SSU rRNA". It matches the Rfam family "Eukaryotic small subunit ribosomal RNA", at positions 569 to 992 of the family's 1831-position model. Lineage: Eukaryota; Evosea; Mastigamoebida; Endamoebidae. The record is from RNAcentral.
AGCAGCCGCGGUAAUUCCAGCUCCAAUAGUGUAUAUUAAAGUUGCUGUGAUUAAAACGCUCGUAGUUGAAUUAUAAUGUUUCCUAGUAUAUGGAGGUUCUGCUUGCAGGGCUGAUAUGUACAAUUAAUGGAACUUAGGCGAUGCUGCUCACGCGGUAUCAUUACUUUGAAAAAAAUAGGGUGUUUAAAGCAAAUCUUAUGUUAAUGAAUAAUGAAGCAUGGGACAAUAUUGAGGAGAUUCUUCGGGAUUUCGAGAGAAGGAUUAAGAGGAACAAUUGGGGUGAUUCAGAAAAUAACGGGAGAGGUAAAAUUCCAUGAUCGCUAUAGGAUGCACGAGAGCGAAAGCAUUUCACUCAAUUGCGUUCAUUAAUCAAGAACGAAAGUUA